Long non-coding RNA from Cygnus olor (mute swan), 2851 nucleotides. RefSeq lists it as uncharacterized. The record is from RefSeq and is a predicted model, not a curated record. The transcript has 2 exons. NCBI's taxonomy places the organism in Eukaryota, Metazoa, Chordata, Aves, Anseriformes, Anatidae.
UGUUGGGGGCAUUGUUUGUUUUUCCCUAGAAAGAACGCUCCCCUGAAAACUGUUCUUGAUUUCAUCUUUUAUGACUUUAUGUAGACUAACAGGACUUUCAAGCAGCAGUAGCUGAUUAUAUAAUUUUUGCUGAGUUCUUUUGUAGUCUGCAAUUUUCAGCCUUCAAGAAUGUGCCAAGAAUUCCUUUUCAUGCAAAAUCAAUGUAGAUGCAGUAAACCAGUUAAUAAUUCAUAAGACGUAAAUGUCAAAGAUAGUGUUUGUGUUACCAGAUGAGUCACUUAGAGCUUGUCUGUCUUGGAAAGUUAUGGCAUCAUAGUCGGAGGACUGAACUUAAAGUGCUGCAAUUUUUAGAAGUAUGACUCUAGGAUGGAUAGAUUUCCUCCUGUCAGUAUAGGAGUAGCUUUUCGAGUAGCUUUGCCACUUAAUUGAUAUUGUUUGGAAAAAGAUCUGAGGACAGCAAAUGAAGCACCGUCCUUUCCACUGGAAUCAGAGUAUUUGCACAGAACUGUUCAUGGCAUUAGAGAUGACCAGUUGGUAUAUUCUUCUCAACUAAUUCACUGGCUGAAUUUGUUCUUCUGUAGGAAUGCUAUUUUUGACGCUGAAACAGAGUUAGUUAAAGGUCGGUAUUGCUCCAGUUGAAGUAAUAGGAGAUUUUAGUACUUAGGAGCAGGUCUUAACUGAGUUUUCUGCUGGUUGCUUCAUCCCAUUUCUUGCUUUGGCCAAGAAAGAAAGGAUUUGAUUUUACUUCCUACAGUUAUUAAAGGAAGUAAGAACUCUUAAAACAGCUCCAGCAUGAGGAAGGUUCAGUGAUAUGCAAAUAUUUUUUAGGAACCAAAAAGUUUGAAUGUAGAAAUGUACUUUCAAAUGCAGAAUAAGCAUAUGUGCACAUGGUUGACUGACUAGAAUGGAGUCUAAUCCAGGGAGCCUUGUGCUAACAUUAAAAAAUAGAAGUUUGUCUUUCAGGAAGAAUGGCUGGAUCUUACGGUACUCACAUGGUCUCUAUUAUUUAUGUUCUAAAUUUGUUUCUAAAAUAGGACUAUUUGUUUCUUAGACUGAGGGGAAAUCUCCUUCCCUUUCCACAGAAGUGCUGAAAAACAUUUUACUAUAUAUUAGGCAGAUUCAUUGCUGUCAGAAUGUGACUCUGUUGCAGGCAGUAGGUAUAAUAUGCUGUUCAUCUUGCCUGUCUUAAGUAUAGACAGGGAAAAUGUGAAUUUCUGGAGGAGAGGAAGACUCAGUUAUUGAAAAAAGACACAAGCUUAGAAACUUGUGAAAUAGGUAAUGUAGAUCUUUAACUUUUGUUUUCAUGCAGAAAACCUUUUCCUCUGUUAGUUUUGACCAGUUUGUCUUGCCUCUGUAAACAGCUACAAAGGGCACGUGGCAGCAAAAGUUAAGCUUUGCAUGGUAGGAACUGGAUUCUCUUAUUAAAGUAAGAACCACAAAUACCUGAUAUCAAAAGGCAGAUAACUUCACUUUAUUUUGCAAUGUCUUAGUUCAAAAUAAUUUCAUUUUGGAACCUGUGAUUUUCACAAUUGUGAAAUCUCUCCGCAAAGGUCUGGUUGGCUUGUUUCAAAAUGGCUGCAUUUUGAUAGCAAAAAAAAAAAAAAAAAAAACACAAAAAACCCAACCUGUGAUAAUUGAAAUAGGUUGUAGAGCUUUUGGUGUUCUCUUCAGAGUACUGUAGUUUUUAUUUAACUGUAAAGAUGGGUGGGAGUAAGAUUUCCUGAAAUGAAGAUGAAUGAGGAUGAAAGAGUAGGAAAGUUCUCAGCAGAAAGCCACAAAACCAGAACAGAGGCAAAUUCUGUGCUCAUGUUUGUAUGGAUAACUCUGACUAUCAGAGCCAGGAGAAAUGGCAGGCAUUGGUGAAUGAAGCUGCCACUUUGUAUUUUCUGCUCCAUUAGUGCACUGUAUCCAGGGUCCUCAAUUCCUGAUCUGGACACUAUGACAGUAUGUGUUGCUCCAGCACAGGAGACAAGACGGCCAGCAUUCCCAAAACACACAGAACCUCAAUAAAACCAGUGGUUAAAGAGGUCAAUGUGGAUUUAACUGUGUCCAUCCGUGUACAUAGAAUCGAACAUGACUAAGGAAGGAAAAGCCGACAUUAUUUCUGUGAUGAUAAGCCCAUCUGUUGCAAAUUUCCUGUCUCAUUGGGGAGAAAGAAUAAGGAAAAGGGAAAAGAGUCAGCUGGUCUAACUUGUGAACAAUCUUUUAACAAAAGCUUCCAGACAGUGUCUGGAAAAUAAGCCACUUGUGACUCGGGUGCUUGUUCCUUCCCAUAGUUUGAGCUUGGUUAGCAAACAGGGUGGCAGUCCUUAAGUAUGUGAAAAUUUUCCUCAGUGUCGACUGCCAAACACUCUGCAAGCUUGUGAUGAACAAAGUGCCUAUUUGAAAUCUUUUACUCAUUCUAACAGGUAACAAUGAAGUUCAGAAGUGUUCUGGGCAGAAGCUGAACUCUGCAUUAGCAUAUUCCUGCAUCUCUGUGAAAUGCCGUGGCAUCUGUGCUGGGUCCGCUGGUACAGCCAGUGACGGAAUGUACCUGGAUAAGUUGCGAAGGUCAUCUUAGAAUUUUAAUCAGUUUCUUGGAGGAAGUAAACAUUCAUGACUCUUUGUGAAGAAGAUGAAAAGUGACAGAAAUAUUGGUCAGGAUUUCUGAACCUUUAGCAAAGUUUAUGCAAAUCUAUCCUUCUGAAACCAAUGUUUACUUCUGAAAUAAUAAUGUAUGUUAAUUUUCACGUCUCUGGGGCUAAAUGAAAUGAAUAGUCCCCAGAAAACUGACAUAUUAAAGGAUCUGUUACUGCUCUGGUUUUCUGUGUAAACUUGUAUAAAAAUGGCAAAACACCAGUAGCAUCCAUUC